Molecule: ribosomal RNA, 253 nt
Filed under: uncultured bacterium
Lineage: Bacteria
Description: partial 16S ribosomal RNA
Rfam family: Bacterial small subunit ribosomal RNA
Source: RNAcentral
UACGAAGGGGGCUAGCGUUGUUCGGAAUCACUGGGCGUAAAGCGCACGUAGGCGGAUCUUUAAGUCAGGGGUGAAAUCCCGAGGCUCAACCUCGGAACUGCCUUUGAUACUGGGGAUCUCGAGUCCGGGAGAGGUGAGUGGAACUGCGAGUGUAGAGGUGAAAUUCGUAGAUAUUCGCAAGAACACCAGUGGCGAAGGCGGCUCACUGGCCCGGAACUGACGCUGAGGAGCGAAAGCGUGGGUAGCGAACAGG